RNAcentral lists this non-coding RNA (29 nucleotides) under Rattus norvegicus (Norway rat). The record is from RNAcentral. Lineage: Eukaryota; Metazoa; Chordata; Mammalia; Rodentia; Muridae.
UAGCAUCUCCAUUAUGCAGUCAAUGCUGC